RNAcentral lists this ribosomal RNA (70 nucleotides) under Escherichia coli. Its description in RNAcentral is "partial 23S ribosomal RNA". The record is from RNAcentral. Lineage: Bacteria; Pseudomonadati; Pseudomonadota; Gammaproteobacteria; Enterobacterales; Enterobacteriaceae.
CGCAGCGAUGCGUUGAGCUAACCGGUACUAAUGAGCCGUGAGGCUUAACCUUACAACGCCGAAGGUGUUU